CGCUAUGACUCCUACGGGGAGGCAGCAGUAGGGAAUCUUCCACAAUGGGCGCAAGCCUGAUGGAGCAACACCGCGUGAGUGAAGAAGGGUUUCGGCUCGUAAAGCUCUGUUGUUUAAAGAAGAACACGUAUGAGAGUAACUGUUCAUACGUUGACGGUAUUUAACCAGAAAGUCACGGCUAACUACGUGCCAGCAGCCGCGGUAAUACGUAGGUGGCAAGCGUUAUCCGGAUUUAUUGGGCGUAAAGAGAGUGCAGGCGGUUUUCUAAGUCUGAUGUGAAAGCCUUCGGCUUAACCGGAGAAGUGCAUCGGAAACUGGAUAACUUGAGUGCAGAAGAGGGUAGUGGAACUCCAUGUGUAGCGGUGGAAUGCGUAGAUAUAUGGAAGAACACCAGUGGCGAAGGCGGCUACCUGGUCUGCAACUGACGCUGAGACUCGAAAGCAUGGGUAGCGAACAGGAUUAGAUACCCUGGUAG
This 475-nucleotide ribosomal RNA is filed under the name uncultured bacterium. Its description in RNAcentral is "bacterial SSU rRNA". It matches the Rfam family "Bacterial small subunit ribosomal RNA", at positions 328 to 793 of the family's 1533-position model. The record is from RNAcentral.